CGCACUCGCUCCGGCGCGGCCUCCGCGCCCACCACCACCCCGCCCAGCGCCUCGCCUCCCCACAGGUACCCCCCUCUCGGCGCCCAUGCCGAUGCCUGUGUCUAGGAGCCCCACCACCAGCGCCUCGUUGUAGUCCGCGCCCACCGGCGAACUCCGGCCACGCCAGCACCGGGACGCCCGCCGCCGCCGCCUCGGUCACCGCUGGGAAGCCCCUUUCUGCUGCUGCGGCCAUCGCUGCCCUCGAUACUCCUCAACGUCGUGCCGUCGGAGCCGCACAAGUGGGACCUCCGGCCCUUCUCCGCCGCCCUCGCAUCUACGCCCGAGUCUCCCAGACGACGGCAAGACCAAGCACAAGGAGUAAUUAGCUUGUGGGUUCGUACACGCAGAGUAUCUGAAGAAAUCAAAGGACAACAAAGAAAAGAGUGAAUACUGAAUAGUUCAUUGGCUGUGAAGGCUGAAGUAAAUGUCUCAUGACUGAAAAAGGAAGUGAAUCUUUGUGCUAGUUGCAGGCUGAACCUAAAGUUCAGAGAUUCAGAGAUUGGUUUUCAGGUGCUGAUUCCAAAAGAUUUAAUUACACUCUCUUGAAUCCAGUACAUUGCUAGAUCAAUCAGGCCAGACAAUGAUGCUCCUUGAUGUUUCAAUCGUCUUCAUACAGAAUUCACCAUUUCAACUCCUAUAGCUACAGAG
This is a long non-coding RNA of Panicum virgatum (switchgrass), 687 nucleotides long. RefSeq lists it as uncharacterized. NCBI's taxonomy places the organism in Eukaryota, Viridiplantae, Streptophyta, Magnoliopsida, Poales, Poaceae. The record is from RefSeq and is a predicted model, not a curated record. The transcript is spliced from 4 exons.